UACGUAGGGGGCGAGCGUUGUCCGGAAUCAUUGGGCGUAAAGCGCGCGUAGGCGGCCCGGUAAGUCCGGUGUGAAAGUCAGAGGCUCAACCUUUGAAAGCCGCUGGAUACUGCCGGGCUAGAGUCCGGAAGAGGCGAGUGGAAUUCCUGGUGUAGCGGUGGAAUGCGCAGAUAUCAGGAGGAACACCAAUGGCGAAGGCAGCUCGCUGGGACGGUACUGACGCUAAGGCGCGAAAGCGUGGGGAGCAAACAGG
Molecule: ribosomal RNA, 253 nt
Filed under: uncultured bacterium
Lineage: Bacteria
Description: partial 16S ribosomal RNA
Rfam family: Bacterial small subunit ribosomal RNA
Source: RNAcentral